Molecule: ribosomal RNA, 882 nt
Filed under: Colletotrichum lindemuthianum
Lineage: Eukaryota; Fungi; Ascomycota; Sordariomycetes; Glomerellales; Glomerellaceae
Description: eukaryotic LSU rRNA
Rfam family: Eukaryotic large subunit ribosomal RNA (bases 183-882)
Source: RNAcentral
GCAUGCCUGUUCGAGCGUCAUUUCAACCCUCAAGCCCUGCUUGGUGUUGGGGCCCUACGGUCGACGUAGGCCCUUAAAGGUAGUGGCGGACCCUCCCGGAGCCUCCUUUGCGUAGUAACUUAACGUCUCGCACUGGGAUCCGGAGGGACUCUUGCCGUAAAACCCCCAAAACUUUUACAGGUUGACCUCGGAUCAGGUAGGAAUACCCGCUGAACUUAAGCAUAUCAAUAAGCGGAGGAAAAGAAACCAACAGGGAUUGCCCCAGUAACGGCGAGUGAAGCGGCAACAGCUCAAAUUUGAAAUCUNGNCCCCAGGCCCGAGUUGUAAUUUGCAGAGGAUGCUUUUGGCGCGGUGCCUUCCGAGUUCCCUGGAACGGGACGCCAUAGAGGGUGAGAGCCCCGUACGGUUGGACACCAAGCCUUUGUAAAGCUCCUUCGACGAGUCGAGUAGUUUGGGAAUGCUGCUCAAAAUGGGAGGUAUAUUUCUUCUAAAGCUAAAUAUAGGCCGGAGACCGAUAGCGCACAAGUAGAGUGAUCGAAAGAUGAAAAGCACUUUGAAAAGAGGGUUAAACAGCACGUGAAAUUGUUAAAAGGGAAGCGCUUGUGACCAGACUUGCGUCCGGCGAAUCACCCAGCUCUCGCGGCUGGGGCACUUCGCCGGCACAGGCCAGCAUCAGCUUGCCGUCGGGGACAAAAGCUUCAGGAACGUAGCUCUCUUCGGGGAGUGUUAUAGCCUGUUGCAUAAUACCUUCGGCGGGCUGAGGUACGCCGUCCGCAAGGAUGCUGGCGUAAUGGUCAUCAGCGACCCGUCUUGAAACACGGACCAAGGAGUCAACCUUAUGUGCGAGUGUUUGGGUGUUAAACCCCUACGCGUAAUGAAAGU